This 218-nucleotide long non-coding RNA is filed under the name Lathyrus oleraceus (garden pea). RNAcentral describes it as "Pisum sativum (pea) long non-coding RNA (PSAT_LNC001972)". The record is from RNAcentral. Lineage: Eukaryota; Viridiplantae; Streptophyta; Magnoliopsida; Fabales; Fabaceae.
AUCUCACCACUCAUAGAUCACCAAGCACAACAAGCAGAUUAGAUCAUACAAACAAAUAUACAUACAUCAAAUAUACAAUUAUAUACUCAUAAAAAAUUAGGUUAAGCCCACUGAGGAUUACUCUCUAGCACUAUAGCGGUAAAUUCAUGACCGUCAAUAAAAUCAGAGUCUCCACCAUGCUUUUAUUGUUUCCAAGGAAAAAGGGAAAAGUAAGAACA